GCUCUAGCAGAUAACAGUUUAAUCUGGAGUUUGAAGAGCUGGGAAUGCAGAGCUAGUCUGCACUUCAGGAGGAAUUCCAGAAGAAAGACAGGCAGAAAGGCUGUCAUGCAGGAUAGGGUGGAUUUGAUUUUCUAUGAACAUGAGCGAUGCAUUUCUUGAAGAGGACUUUACUCCUGGGUCCAAUAUGGAUGUAUUCAGAGGGGAUGAAACACCAGUCUCCUUUCAGAUCAUUCUUGAAGAAUCCCCUUGAAGGAUUUCUCCUGGCAGAGAACAUCUCCUGAAGGCAAAUGUCAUACCAGAGAAUAAAGGAAUGCCAUACAUACA
RNAcentral lists this long non-coding RNA (324 nucleotides) under Numida meleagris (helmeted guineafowl). RNAcentral's name for it is "lncRNA (ENSNMEG00000018642.1)". Lineage: Eukaryota; Metazoa; Chordata; Aves; Galliformes; Numididae. The record is from RNAcentral.